Cryptomeria japonica (Japanese cedar) is the source of this 544-nucleotide long non-coding RNA. RefSeq lists it as uncharacterized. Lineage: Eukaryota; Viridiplantae; Streptophyta; Pinopsida; Cupressales; Cupressaceae. The transcript has 2 exons. The record is from RefSeq and is a predicted model, not a curated record.
GGCUUUUGACACAAGGUGCCCAUGGGCGCCCAAGGCGGGCCCACACGUGAGCACGUUUCCCGAGGCGAUGGAAGAGUUGACUGGACGAAGACCAAGUGGACCCCACGCAUGCACGCUUCCCGAGGCAAACAAGCAAAAUUUUGCAGACGAAGGUCGGGUUAACGAGUGAGCAGGUUCGAGAUGGAUCGACGGUGCGCGCUAUUUCGCAAAGGGAAGAUGCACGCGAGUUAAGGCUGCGAAAUAGCGAAAGUGAACGAGAUCCAUCCACGUGGCACGUAGGUGGCGAUGACGUGGCAUACAAGCAAGCGGCCAAGUGGCAGUGACGAAGCAGAUGACGUGGCGAUGAUGAGGUGUCAUCCCAGGUGGCAUCCGGUCAACCCCAUCAGCCAAUCAGAGGCCGCCACGUGGCAAGGCGUCAGAGCACAAAUGGAGGCAAAAAUCAAAUUUUAAAUGAAUAAAUGAUAUAGUUUAGACUAUAUUGAAAUUCGAAAUAUUUAAAUGAUGGAUCCAUGAUGAGAAUUAAUUCGCCCAGGGUCCAAUUUUU